UGGUGCUUGCCUCAGCAUCAUGUAACUAAAAUUGGAAUGAUACAAAAAGAUUAAUAUAGCCCUUGUACAAGGAUGCCACAAAAAUUUAUGAAGCAUUUCAUAUUUCC
Ochotona princeps (American pika) is the source of this 107-nucleotide small nuclear RNA. Lineage: Eukaryota; Metazoa; Chordata; Mammalia; Lagomorpha; Ochotonidae. The record is from RefSeq and is a predicted model, not a curated record.